RNAcentral lists this long non-coding RNA (288 nucleotides) under Gallus gallus (chicken). RNAcentral's name for it is "lncRNA (ENSGALG00010020893.1)". Lineage: Eukaryota; Metazoa; Chordata; Aves; Galliformes; Phasianidae. The record is from RNAcentral.
AGAGAUGGCACUGAUGGACUCCAGGGGGGCAACUGAUGUCAUCUCCCUGGACUUGAGCAAGGCCUUCGAUGUGGUCCCGCACCACUUCCUUCCCUCUGACUCAGAGGGAGGUGGGUGCAAAGGAUGGGCUGUGGGGUGGACGUUCAACAAAGCCAAGGGGGUGCGUUCAGAGGGGGAAUUGAUCUGGAUAGGUUGGACAGCCGGGCUGAAGCCAAUGGGAUGGGAUUCAACAAGACCAACUGCCGGGUCCUGCACUUUGGCCGCAAUAAGCCCAGGCAAUGCUACAGG